UCUGCACGGUUAAUACCUUUUUAGUCUGACGGUACUUGACGAAUAAGCACCGGCUAACUCCGUGCCAGCAGCCGCGGUAAUACUGAGGGUGCAAGCGUUAAUCGGAAUUACUGGGCGUAAAGCGUGCGUAGGCGGUUCGUUAAGUCUGCUGUGAAAACCCCGGGCUCAACCUGGGAAUGGCAGUGGAUACUGGCGAGCUAGAGUGUGUCAGAGGAUGGUGGAAUUCCCGGUGUAGCGGUGAUAUGCGUAGAGAUCGGGAGGAACAUCAUUGGCGAAGGCGGCCAUCUGGGACAACACUGACGCUGAGGCACGAAAGCGUGGGGAGCAAACAGGAUUAGAUACCCUGGUAGUCCACGCCCUAAACGAUGCGAACUGGAUGUUGGUCUCAACUCGGAGAUCAAUGUCGAAGCUAACGCGUUAAGAUCGCCGCCUGGGGAGUACGGUCUCAAGACUGAAACUCAAAGGAAUUGACGGAGGACA
This 480-nucleotide ribosomal RNA is filed under the name uncultured Luteibacter sp. RNAcentral describes it as "bacterial SSU rRNA". It matches the Rfam family "Bacterial small subunit ribosomal RNA", at positions 444 to 922 of the family's 1533-position model. The record is from RNAcentral. Lineage: Bacteria; Pseudomonadati; Pseudomonadota; Gammaproteobacteria; Lysobacterales; Rhodanobacteraceae.